Molecule: long non-coding RNA, 1113 nt
Filed under: Gadus morhua (Atlantic cod)
Lineage: Eukaryota; Metazoa; Chordata; Actinopteri; Gadiformes; Gadidae
Description: lncRNA (ENSGMOG00000036321.1)
Source: RNAcentral
CGACAUGAAAACAUAUAGGCCUAGGGAAAUGGUGAUUUAGAGGACAGCUUGUUUGACACUUGUGUAACUGAAUAAACACUGUUAAAAGUACACACAGGUUUCUGCCGUCUUGUUUACUAACACAGCAUAGUCAGUGGUUUUAUAUCCACAACAAAUAACAACAACAACAACAAACAACAACAAAUAAAUCACAAUAUAGCAACGUGCAUGAUAGAUUAAAAAUAAAUUGCGAAGUUUCCAUGUAAUGGGUGGGAGGCUGGGAGCUCUACCCACUGCACUAGUAUUCCCUUUCAAUUAUCUUGGACUAAACCAGUUAAAAUCAACAAUGAGAUAAAAGUAUUAACCAAGAAAAAAACAAACGGAAUGGAAGAGGAAUUUAGUUAAUUUUUGGGAUAUUUCCGGCCUAUCACCCUAAAUCUUAAAGGUUGUAUAGGUGAUUUGCUUUUUUGGCCAUUUUUGCAAAAUUACUUGAAAUCCUUAUCAUAACCCGCUUACAGCCACUGAGUUAGAAGUACUGACAUGAAAAUUAAACAAGUCAAUCAUCUGUGGAACGGGCAGGGCUCGAAAAACUCCAGCCAAUCAUUUCCAUUGCCACCGAGUUGCAUUGGACAGUAAGUACGUCAAUCAAACGGUCGUACUGCACUCCCCCUCCCCCGCGCCCCGCGCGCAACCCCUUCGUGCAGUACUCGUGACCCAGAGCUCGUGACCCAGAGCAAGCUCCUGUUUGUUGUUAUCCUGCGGUAGCUACUGGAACUAGUUAAUCCACAUUUGGACCUAGCAGUAGAAGACAAUUUCCAUGGCAGACAAAGGAAAACUCUUUUUCAGAGAGUAAUUGAUAAUAAAAACGCUGAAAGAGAAAAACUGAAAUCAAGAAUAAUCCUAGGCGCUGCUUUCGAACGUUGGCGGGAACUGAAGGACGAGAAGGGUCUAAAAACCGAUGCUUGUGUGGCGGUUGACCUAGUUUCAAAGUUUAUACCGUUUAUACUCGGUAAUACCGGUGUGGAGACGAGUGUAUUACUCGGUGUGAAAAUGUCCACACCGCGGCAACCCUAGUGAAAACCAGGACUUCCAAUACAAUUAUAUGAAACAAACAUACAUUUUCUAAAAAUAGUA